Molecule: long non-coding RNA, 453 nt
Organism: Clarias gariepinus (North African catfish)
Lineage: Eukaryota; Metazoa; Chordata; Actinopteri; Siluriformes; Clariidae
Exons: 3
Source: RefSeq, a predicted model, not a curated record
UAUUAUUUAGAAAAAGCUUUUUGUGAGGACUUUUUUUGUUUUGUUUUAUAUCUUCAUUGCUUACUUGCUUAUCUGCAAGUAAGCAAAAUGUAGCAGUCCCAGUCCUGUCAGACCCAUGCCACUAUCAAGCUUCCCACUGUCCUUUUGUCACACAGUAUCAUUAAGAUGCAGAAGAGAAAGAGGCAGUAGAAGAUUGACACCAUUUUCAAAAGAAAUCCUGAAGGAAUACAUGAAAACUGAGGACAGAAAUCUGUCCUUGCACAAAUCUUCGAUAAUAAGAAUUUUCCAGAACGUUGGCUGAGAUGAAACAGACCUCAUGAAUGGCCUCCAAGAAGUCCAGAUCUCAGUCCAUGUUAUUUUCUCCUGUGGGGCUAUGCAAAGGAGGAGGUGUACAAGACAAAGCCUUGCACACUGGAGGACUUAGAGGUCCAGAUUCAGGAGGUUCUCUCAGCA